This 107-nucleotide non-coding RNA is filed under the name Virgibacillus necropolis. RNAcentral's name for it is "SAM-I sequence". It matches the Rfam family "SAM riboswitch aptamer (S box leader)". From Rfam's summary of the family: The SAM riboswitch is found upstream of a number of genes which code for proteins involved in methionine or cysteine biosynthesis in Gram-positive bacteria. The SAM riboswitch acts at the level of transcription termination control. The record is from Rfam by way of RNAcentral. Lineage: Bacteria; Bacillati; Bacillota; Bacilli; Caryophanales; Bacillaceae.
UCCUUAUCAAGAGCCAGGGGAGGAAUUUGGUCCUAAGAUCCUGCGGCAACCUGUUAUGUAAAUAAUAAGGUGCACAUUCCAACAGACAUAUGUCUGAGAGAUGAGGA